Molecule: transfer RNA, 120 nt
Filed under: Pseudogymnoascus sp. VKM F-4517 (FW-2822)
Lineage: Eukaryota; Fungi; Ascomycota; Leotiomycetes; Thelebolales; Thelebolaceae
Rfam family: tRNA
About the family: Transfer RNA (tRNA) molecules are approximately 80 nucleotides in length. Their secondary structure includes four short double-helical elements and three loops (D, anti-codon, and T loops).
Source: Rfam by way of RNAcentral
GGACAGAUGGCCGAGCGGUCUAAGGCGCGUGACUCAAGAAUUUCGAUACUUCUGGUCGAUUACAACGCCUAGUGCAUUCACGUAUCGAAAGAUUCGGGGGUUCGAAUCCCCCUCUGUUCA